AAAGCACUUUCAGUAGGGAGGAAGGUAGUGUAGUUAACACCUGCAUUAUUUGACGUUACCUACAGAAGAAGCACCGGCUAACUCCGUGCCAGCAGCCGCGGUAAUACGGAGGGUGCGAGCGUUAAUCGGAAUUACUGGGCGUAAAGCGCAUGCAGGCGGCCUGUUAAGUCAGAUGUGAAAGCCCGGGGCUUAACCUCGGAAUUGCAUUUGAAAACUGGCAGGCUAGAGUCUUGUAGAGGGGGUAGAAUUUCAGGUGUAGCGGUGAAAAUGCGUAGAGAUCUGAAGGAAUACCAGUGGCGAAGGCGGCCCCCCUGGACAAAGACUGACGCUCAGAUGCGAAAGCGUGGGGAGCAAACAGGAUUAGAUACCCCUGGUAG
This 377-nucleotide ribosomal RNA is filed under the name uncultured bacterium. Its description in RNAcentral is "bacterial SSU rRNA". It matches the Rfam family "Bacterial small subunit ribosomal RNA", at positions 427 to 793 of the family's 1533-position model. The record is from RNAcentral.